UAUUGAGGUGUCUGAUUAAAGUGGUAAACUGUAAAUUUUCUUAAGAAUUAAUUUUUAAUUCUCUCAAUAG
RNAcentral lists this transfer RNA (70 nucleotides) under Macropsis huangbana. RNAcentral describes it as "tRNA-Tyr". Lineage: Eukaryota; Metazoa; Arthropoda; Insecta; Hemiptera; Cicadellidae. The record is from RNAcentral.